RNAcentral lists this small RNA (88 nucleotides) under Arabidopsis thaliana (thale cress). RNAcentral's name for it is "ATSL285740". The record is from RNAcentral. Lineage: Eukaryota; Viridiplantae; Streptophyta; Magnoliopsida; Brassicales; Brassicaceae.
AAUUUGGAAAUUUGAAUAUCGUAGGCGAAUGUUUCAUUUUCUUUCAAGUAGGCACGGUUCUGCAUAGUAUUUAGUAACCAUAAGGUUU